Molecule: ribosomal RNA, 253 nt
Filed under: uncultured bacterium
Lineage: Bacteria
Description: partial 16S ribosomal RNA
Rfam family: Bacterial small subunit ribosomal RNA
Source: RNAcentral
UACGGAGGAUCCGAGCGUUAAACGGAAUUACUGGGCGUAAAGCGUGCGUAGACGGUUACAUAAGUCGGGUGUGAAAGCCCCGGGCUCAACCUGGGAAUUGCAUUCGAGACUGCGUAGCUAGGGUACGGUAGAGGGAAGCGGAAUUUCCGGUGUAGCGGUGAAAUGCGUAGAUAUCGGAAGGAACACCAGUGGCGAAAGCGGCUUCCUGGACCAGUACCGACGUUCAGGCACGAAAGCGUGGGGAGCAAACAGG